Molecule: ribosomal RNA, 492 nt
Filed under: uncultured bacterium
Lineage: Bacteria
Description: partial 16S ribosomal RNA
Rfam family: Bacterial small subunit ribosomal RNA
Source: RNAcentral
AGUGAACGCUGGCGGUAGGCCUAACACAUGCAAGUCGAACGGCAGCACAGUAAGAGCUUGCUCUUACGGGUGGCGAGUGGCGGACGGGUGAGGAAUACAUCGGAAUCUACUUUUUCGGGGGGGAUAACGUAGGGAAACUUACGCUAAUACCGCAUACGACCUACGGGUGAAAGCAGGGGAUCUUCGGACCUUGCGCGAUUGAAUGAGCCGAUGUCGGAUUAGCUAGUUGGCGGGGUAAAGGCCCACCAAGGCGACAAUCCGUAGCUGGUCUGAGAGGAUGAUCAGCCACACUGGAACUGAGACACGGUCCAGACUCCUACGGGAGGCAGCAGUGGGGAAUAUUGGACAAAGGGCGCAAGCCUGAUCCAGCCAUACCGCGUGGGUGAAGAAGGCCUUCGGGUUGUAAAGCCCUUUUGUUGGGAAAGAAAAGCAGCAGGUUAAUACCCCGCUGUUCUGACGGUACCCAAAGAAUAAGCACCGGCUAACUUCGUG